RNAcentral lists this ribosomal RNA (722 nucleotides) under uncultured Fusobacterium sp. RNAcentral describes it as "bacterial SSU rRNA". It matches the Rfam family "Bacterial small subunit ribosomal RNA", at positions 28 to 776 of the family's 1533-position model. The record is from RNAcentral. Lineage: Bacteria; Fusobacteriati; Fusobacteriota; Fusobacteriia; Fusobacteriales; Fusobacteriaceae.
GAUGAACGCUGACAGAAUGCUUAACACAUGCAAGUCAACUUGAACUUCGGUUUGGGUGGCGGACGGGUGAGUAACGCGUAAAGAACUUACCUCACAGAUAGGGACAACAUUUGGAAACGAAUGCUAAUACCUGAUAUUAUGAUUUUAGGGCAUCCUAGGAUUAUGAAAGCUAUAUGCGCUGUGAGAGAGCUUUGCGUCCCAUUAGCUAGUUGGAGAGGUAACGGCUCACCAAGGCGAUGAUGGGUAGCCGGCCUGAGAGGGUGAUCGGCCACAAGGGGACUGAGACACGGCCCUUACUCCUACGGGAGGCAGCAGUGGGGAAUAUUGGACAAUGGACCAAGAGUCUGAUCCAGCAAUUCUGUGUGCACGAUGAAGUUUUUCGGAAUGUAAAGUGCUUUCAGUUGGGAAGAAAAAAAUGACGGUACCAACAGAAGAAGUGACGGCUAAAUACGUGCCAGCAGCCGCGGUAAUACGUAUGUCACAAGCGUUAUCCGGAUUUAUUGGGCGUAAAGCGCGUCUAGGUGGUUAUGUAAGUCUGAUGUGAAAAUGCAGGGCUCAACUCUGUAUUGCGUUGGAAACUGUGUAACUAGAGUACUGGAGAGGUAAGCGGAACUACAAGUGUAGAGGUGAAAUUCGUAGAUAUUUGUAGGAAUGCCGAUGGGGAAGCCAGCUUACUGGACAGAUACUGACGCUGAAGCGCGAAAGCGUGGGUAGCAAACAGG